RNAcentral lists this transfer RNA (76 nucleotides) under Patescibacteria group bacterium. RNAcentral describes it as "tRNA-Phe". It matches the Rfam family "tRNA". From Rfam's summary of the family: Transfer RNA (tRNA) molecules are approximately 80 nucleotides in length. Their secondary structure includes four short double-helical elements and three loops (D, anti-codon, and T loops). Further hydrogen bonds mediate the characteristic L-shaped molecular structure. tRNAs have two regions of fundamental functional importance: the anti-codon, which is responsible for specific mRNA codon recognition, and the 3' end, to which the tRNAs corresponding amino acid is attached (by aminoacyl-tRNA synthetases). tRNAs cope with the degeneracy of the genetic code in two manners: having more than one tRNA (with a specific anti-codon) for a particular amino acid; and 'wobble' base-pairing, i.e. permitting non-standard base-pairing at the 3rd anti-codon position. The record is from RNAcentral.
GGCUCUUUAGCUCAGUUGGUAGAGCAGCGGCUUGAAGCGCCGCGUGUCCCCAGUUCGAGUCUGGGAGGAGCCACCA